Molecule: transfer RNA, 73 nt
Filed under: Myxococcus fulvus
Lineage: Bacteria; Pseudomonadati; Myxococcota; Myxococcia; Myxococcales; Myxococcaceae
Also listed under: 3 other names
Description: tRNA-Glu
Rfam family: tRNA
About the family: Transfer RNA (tRNA) molecules are approximately 80 nucleotides in length. Their secondary structure includes four short double-helical elements and three loops (D, anti-codon, and T loops). Further hydrogen bonds mediate the characteristic L-shaped molecular structure. tRNAs have two regions of fundamental functional importance: the anti-codon, which is responsible for specific mRNA codon recognition, and the 3' end, to which the tRNAs corresponding amino acid is attached (by aminoacyl-tRNA synthetases). tRNAs cope with the degeneracy of the genetic code in two manners: having more than one tRNA (with a specific anti-codon) for a particular amino acid; and 'wobble' base-pairing, i.e. permitting non-standard base-pairing at the 3rd anti-codon position.
Source: RNAcentral
GCCCCGUUCGUCUAUUGGCGCAGGACACCGCACUCUCUAUGCGGGAAGACGGGUUCGACUCCCGUACGGGGCA